CUUGGUCAUUUAGAGGAAGUAAAAGUCGUAACAAGGUUUCCGUAGGUGAACCUGCGGAAGGAUCAUUAUAGAGAACUUGCCCUUCGGGGUAGAUCUCCCACCCUUUGUUUACAUUACCUUUGUUGCUUUGACAGGCCCGCCUCUCGGGGCCGCCGGCUCCGGCUGGUCAGUGCUUGUCAGAGGAUUUAAAACUCUUGUUUAAUUGUCGUCUGAGUACUAUAUAAUAGUUAAAACUUUCAACAACGGAUCUCUUGGUUCUGGCAUCGAUGAAGAACGCAGCGAAAUGCGAUAAGUAAUGUGAAUUGCAGAAUUCAGUGAAUCAUCGAAUCUUUGAACGCACAUUGCGCCCUCUGGUAUUCCGGGGGGCAUGCCUGUUCGAGCGUCAUUACAACCCUCAAGCUCUGCUUGGUAUUGGGCGUCACCCUCUGGGGUGCGCCUUAAAAUCAGUGGCGGUGCCACUCGGCUUCAAGCGUAGUAAUUCUUCUCGCUCUGGAGGACCGGGUGUGUGCUAGCCAGCAACCCCCAAUUUUUUAAGGUUGACCUCGGAUCAGGUAGGGAUACCCGCUGAACUUAAGCAUAUCAAUAAGCGGAGGA
RNAcentral lists this ribosomal RNA (594 nucleotides) under uncultured Leotiomycetes. RNAcentral's name for it is "eukaryotic LSU rRNA". The stretch from base 232 to 385 matches the Rfam family "5.8S ribosomal RNA". The record is from RNAcentral. Lineage: Eukaryota; Fungi; Ascomycota; Leotiomycetes.